RNAcentral lists this ribosomal RNA (514 nucleotides) under Colotis guenei. RNAcentral's name for it is "partial 16S ribosomal RNA". The stretch from base 388 to 514 matches the Rfam family "Bacterial large subunit ribosomal RNA", at positions 2473 to 2600 of the family's 2925-position model. The record is from RNAcentral. Lineage: Eukaryota; Metazoa; Arthropoda; Insecta; Lepidoptera; Pieridae.
GUCUUUUUGAAAAUAAUUUAAAGUCUAAUCUGCCCACUGAAUAUAAUUUAAAGGGCUGCAGUAUAUUGACUGUACAAAGGUAGCAUAAUCAGUAGUCUUUUAAUUGAAGACUUGUAUGAAUGAUUUGAUGAGAUAUAAACUGUCUCUUUAUAAUAAGUAAAAUUUAAUUUUUUAGUUAAAAAGCUAAAAUAUUUAUAAAAGACGAGAAGACCCUAUAGAGUUUUAUAUUUGAAUUUAUUUGAAUUUUAUAUAAAAUUUUUAAUUUAAAUAAAUUUAAAUAUUUUGUUGGGGUGAUAGAAAAAUUUAUAAAACUUUUUUUAAAAAAUUAACAUUGAUAUAUGAUUUUAUGAUCCAUAAUUUAUGAUUAAAAGAAUAAAUUACCUUAGGGAUAACAGCGUAAUUUUUUUUUUUAGUUCAAAUAAAAAUUAAAGUUUGCGACCUCGAUGUUGGAUUAAGAUAAAAUUUAAAUGCAAAAGUUUAAAAUUUUGAUCUGUUCGAUCAUUAAAAUCUUACA